GGCUUGAUGGUCUAGUAGUAUGAUUCCUUGUUAGGGUAGUUUAGCUGAUUAUAUCGAGGAGGUCCUGGGUUCAAUUCCCAGUCAAGCCC
Non-coding RNA from Armillaria nabsnona, 89 nucleotides. NCBI's taxonomy places the organism in Eukaryota, Fungi, Basidiomycota, Agaricomycetes, Agaricales, Physalacriaceae. The record is from the annotation of a GenBank genome assembly.